UACGAAGGGGGCUAGCGUUGCUCGGAAUUACUGGGCGUAAAGGGCGCGUAGGCGGAUGUUUAAGUCAGAGGUGAAAGCCCAGGGCUCAACCUUGGAACUGCCUUUGAUACUGGGCAUCUUGAGUAUGGGAGAGGUGAGUGGAACUCCGAGUGUAGAGGUGAAAUUCGUAGAUAUUCGGAAGAACACCAGUGGCGAAGGCGACUCACUGGCCCAUUACUGACGCUGAGGCGCGAAAGCUAGGGGAGCAAACGGG
Molecule: ribosomal RNA, 253 nt
Filed under: uncultured bacterium
Lineage: Bacteria
Description: partial 16S ribosomal RNA
Rfam family: Bacterial small subunit ribosomal RNA
Source: RNAcentral